UGUUAAUUCACGACAUAGCAUAAAUCUUGUUAAUAAGCGUGUUUGGUUGAUUGGAGAUUCCACUAUUAUAAAAAACUUAGUAUUUAAUUUAGGAGUUGAGUGGGUAUUAAAAUAGAAGAAGAUGAUAGCUCUCUCUACCGAUUAUUGCACUCAGAUAAGUAUCACAAGAUGUACAGUCUCUAUCUUCACAACUUGUCUGCAUAUUCUUUGGCUUGUCAUGAUCUCCAACCAUGCAGGAUACUGUCUCUAAACUCAUGAUGAAUGCGGUAUACAUCAUAUAAAGUGAAGCUUUUUAGGGAUAGGUGUUCAUAUCAUACCCACACAACGUUGGACUAUAUUAUUUAAGGAUUUUUUUUAGUACUUGUGAGAUGUUCACAUGGUUUUAGGUGUUUACUUCUGAACAUAAAACUACAGAAGUUUUGUACAUAUUGUGUUGGAUUUUAGAGGAUCGAUGAAUAAAGGAAGUGCUCAGUUUUGCAAAGUGGCAGGACCCUUGUUGGAAAUAAAUAAGUAUCGAAGUUGAAUGAUUGAAAAAGAAGAGAUCUUACAUUCUCGAUAAACUAGAGCCAUGUAGAUGCAGACGUUACCCCGACAACUAUCACCCAUCUGAUUGGAUACGGAAUGUAGCAGGUGGUACGUUUUCUAGAUUUCACUUUAUUUCAUCUAACAGUAACAAUAAUGAUGUUCAAAAUUCCAUGUAGGGGCCGUUAAAGUAAGUUGUGACUUGUUUGUAGAUAAUAAUUGGAUAUGACGAUUUGAGUUAUGCAAUAGGGGGUAGGGUCCAUUCUCUUUUUUAACGUUAGAACAUGAGUUGUCUCUGUUCUAUGUGCAAAUAGGCAAUGUCAUAAUUAUUCAAUAAACUUGAUAUGAAAAGAUCGUAGUGUCAAGAUCCCAAAUCCCUCUAUCUAUUGGUAUGAGAAGAAGACCAAAUUCAAAAUAACUUGCAACUCUAUCCAUGUUUGCUUUCCUCACAUCCCACCCUUCGGAUUCCUCCUAAAACAAUCAUGUCGUAGUAUGUGAAUCAGGAAUUGUCCUUCACUUUUUUCCCAACUCUAACAAAAUAUUCUUGAAAAUCAAGUUUUCAAAGGUAAAUUUCCCACCCACGCAUUUUUCCAAAAACUAGUUGAACAGCCAUCAUCCAUUCAUUUUCAAACAAAAAAAAAGAUAUAUUAAUACCUUUAUUUUGAAGUUGCAAGCUCGAGCAAAAUAAUAUUUCUCCAAGGUGCACUCAAGUUCCUUACGAGGCCACAAAUCAACUUGACCAUCAUUAUAGUAAAUCAUGUUUAAAACUUUUACACAUAAAGAGGGUGCUUAUUGCUUACUGUUUAUUCCCAUCACAAUAAGCUAAGUUUAAGUAUUUUGAUUGGAAUUUUUAAGUAUUUUGAUUGAAAUCUUUAAAAAUCAGCUUAUUGUGGUGGGGAUAAGUUAAAUAAGCUAAUUUUAAUAAACAUUCCUCCGUUUCUUAAAGCUUAUUGCUUAUUCUCACCACAAACACUUUUGCAAAGCACUCAAGUAUCAACUUCAUUAACA
Molecule: long non-coding RNA, 1530 nt
Organism: Lactuca sativa (garden lettuce)
Lineage: Eukaryota; Viridiplantae; Streptophyta; Magnoliopsida; Asterales; Asteraceae
Source: RefSeq, a predicted model, not a curated record